RNAcentral lists this ribosomal RNA (440 nucleotides) under uncultured bacterium. Its description in RNAcentral is "partial 16S ribosomal RNA". It matches the Rfam family "Bacterial small subunit ribosomal RNA", at positions 338 to 795 of the family's 1533-position model. The record is from RNAcentral.
CCUACGGGUGGCAGCAGUGGGGAAUAUUGCACAAUGGGGGAAACCCGGAUGCAGCGACGCCGCGGGAGUGAAGAAGAAGUGCGGUAUGUAAAGCUCUAGCAGCAGGGAAGAAAAUGACGGUAACUGACUAAGAAGCCCCGGCUAACGACGUGCCAGCAGCCGCGGUAAUACGUAGGGGGCAAGCGUUCUCCGGAUUUACUGGGUGUAAAGGGAGCGUAGACGGCAGAGCAAGUCUGAAGUGAAAGCCCGCGGCCCAACUGCGGGACUGCUUUGGAAACUGCCCGGCUAGAGUGCUGGAGAGGUAAGCGGAAUUCCUAGUGUAGCGGUGAAAUGCGUAGAUAUUAGGAGGAACACCAGUGGCGAAGGCGGCUUACUGGACAGUAACUGACGUUGCGGCUCGAACGCGUGGGGAGCAAACAGGAUUAGAUACCCGUGUAGUC